Molecule: transfer RNA, 76 nt
Filed under: Bacilli bacterium
Lineage: Bacteria; Bacillati; Bacillota; Bacilli
Also listed under: 1 other name
Description: tRNA-Thr
Rfam family: tRNA
About the family: Transfer RNA (tRNA) molecules are approximately 80 nucleotides in length. Their secondary structure includes four short double-helical elements and three loops (D, anti-codon, and T loops).
Source: RNAcentral
GCCGAAAUAGCUCAAUUGGUAGAGCAACUGAUUUGUAAUCAGUAGGUUGCGGGUUCAAGUCCUGUUUUCGGCACCA